This 2055-nucleotide long non-coding RNA is filed under the name Lactuca sativa (garden lettuce). Its description in RNAcentral is "long non-coding RNA (LSAT_LNC002181)". Lineage: Eukaryota; Viridiplantae; Streptophyta; Magnoliopsida; Asterales; Asteraceae. The record is from RNAcentral.
AUAAAUGAUAACCACUUUAUAUAAAUAUAAAUAUAUACUAAACUCAGAGGAAUUCAUCAGAAACCAUCCAACUUUUAGAAGAAAAAAAGCUAAUUGAUUAUGAAUUUAUGAUUUGAUAAUGUCGAAAGAAUCGUAUUGGAAAGAUAAGCCACCAAAGUUUUGGAAUGUUUUGUUGAAUAUAUUUGGUAAAGCUGAAACAAACAUAAAUAAACUACAACUAUUAAAUUUGAGAAUAAAAAUAAUCGGUGCAUAAACUAAAAGCAUACCAUUAACAUUUUGUUCUGACAUUGUAGCUCCCUACACAAUUACUCAAGUUUAUUUCAAAUAGCAAUAGCUGAAAAUGAGAGAAAAAUAACAUUAAAGCAAAACUUGCGGAAAUACACAAGGGAAAGAAGUGACUUUCUUUUGAAAUAAAUUUCCGAAACAAUAAUUAGUUUAUAUUUAUCAAGUGAUGCAGAAACUCAGUGCUAAAUCAAUACAUACUUAAACAAUGAGAAUGAAGACAAAAGAUUAACAUAUAGUCUACUGCCAUUGAAACAGGUUUCUCCAUAUGCUUUAACAUAACAUAAAUGGGUGGAAUUUAGCAAAAUACGAUUAAAAUAUAAAAAAAAAUCAUUAAAUUUGUAAUAUGAUUUGUUGAUUAUUUGUUACCUGCAAUAUUCAAGCGUGAUGGACGUAAUUCAAAUGGGGUUGUUCUGAAUUUUCAUUUCCACUUGAACCUUCACCAACAUAAGUAUUUGAAAUUCCCAAGUUUAAAUUGAAUCCAUAAUCGCUUCUUGUGUCAGAAAUUGCAAAACUUUGUAAAAUUUAAAAGAAACAACACAAACUGACAGAGUGUGAUUGUAGUUGAUGAAAGUUGUAUUACAGUGAUGAGUUGAAGGAAGCAUAUUGUUUCCUUGUUAAGUAUUGCCUUCAAAGUUGGUGAUUGUUUCCCUUCCAAAUCCCACCUGUCAAAGCCAUGCCAAAUUCAAAAUUAACAUACAAAGUCACUAGGCUAUGGUACCAACAACUACAUACAAUGGAAAUUACAACUGGAAAAUAAAUAGUUGAUUGGAUGAAGAUCAUUAUUUUAUACAAUAAAAGUAGAAGUGUUAGCAAAAAUUAACAAAUGAAAAGGAGAUAAGAGAUUGAAAUUAUCAAAUUAAGAAAAUAAGAUUGGUGUGUAGAGAAGCUGGGCAACGAUCAGAACCGGUGACAGCCGAAUUUCAGAAGAAUGCCAUUUCUGCAUUUCUUUACCCUCAAUGACAUAUUCUUCUGCAAACAAAGGAUUCGGUAGUCAUAAAUUCAAUAAAUUAGUAGACGGAAUUAGAGUUAGAGAAGAAAUUAACAUGAUGGAAUGGAAUGCAAUUUGUAAUUUGAGGACCUAUAACUGUUAUAACUGGAAGUUCCAGGAUAGAAUUCAUACUUGCAGUUCCACCGACACCACCCACUAUUUUGGAUAAUCAAUCUUUCACUUCAAUAUUCUCGUUGCACCAUUGAUGAUUUUAGUUCUCAAAGUUCACUAAUGGAACUUUAAGUUUUCUGCAUUGGUGUGCUCAACAAUGGAAACAAUAAGCAUACAUGAAAGCCAAUGUUGAUACGGUGGCAAGCAAUCCAUGGUGGAAGGUGGGAAUCGAGUAUGUAUAUGAGACCCAAAUUAGACAAUAAAGCAACCCCAACCCUAAAACAAAGUGACUGACGGUAGAGCCCGAAACCAAAAAUUGAAAAAACAAACAACUAACCCAAAAUCGAAUAAUCGAACAGAGAACUACUUCCAAACAUCAAAAAACAUGUAUGAACAUGUGAAGAACAGAGGUAACUUACCCAACUCGCAAUCAAAAUAGAUACAUUGAAACUGAUGGUUGGGUGCGACGAAACAACCGUGAACCGUCCGCGUCAUUGCGAAAUCUCAACAAUCACUGCACCGACAAACCCCAAAAUUGUUGGAAGCAAAGAAAAGACCAAGAAGAAAUCAUAAAUUAAGGGAAAGACAAAGACAAAGAGGAAUGAUAAUCAUUUUAACAGUGAUGCAUGUAUCGUAUUGACAGGGACGAAAGCUUAGAAACUGCAACAUUG